This 492-nucleotide ribosomal RNA is filed under the name uncultured bacterium. RNAcentral's name for it is "partial 16S ribosomal RNA". It matches the Rfam family "Bacterial small subunit ribosomal RNA", at positions 29 to 507 of the family's 1533-position model. The record is from RNAcentral.
AGUGAACGCUGGCGGUAGGCCUAACACAUGCAAGUCGAACGGCAGCACAGUAAGAGCUUGCUCUUACGGGUGGCGAGUGGCGGACGGGUGAGGAAUACAUCGGAAUCUACUUUUUCGUGGGGGAUAACGUAGGGAAACUUACGCUAAUACCGCAUACGACCUACGGGUGAAAGCAGGGGAUCUUCGGACCUUGCGCGAUUGAAUGAGCCGAUGUCGGAUUAGCUAGUUGGCGGGGUAAAGGCCCACCAAGGCGAGGAUCCGUAGCUGGUCUGAGAGGAUGAUCAGCCACACUGGAACUGAGACACGGUCCAGGCUCCUACGGGAGGCAGCAGUGGGGAAUGUGGGACAAUGGGCGCAAGCCUGAUCCAGCCAUACCGCGUGGGUGAAGAAGGCCUUCGGGUUGUAAAGCCCUUUUGUUGGGAAAGAAAAGCAGCAGGUUAAUACCCCGCUGUUCUGACGGUACCCAAAGAAUAAGCACCGGCUAACUUCGUG